AGGAGAUCCGGCUGGGCCGGAGGAACCCGCGCAUACGCACCCGCGCGGGGUGUGGGGGUUGCAAACCAGAGAUCCGGACUGCGUGAACGCGGACGGGGGAGGCCCGCACACAAACGAGAGCCGCCAGAUGGUCACCGAGUCCCCCCCUCUCACCCCCAUUAUUGCUCCACCGAAAGCCCACCCGGACAAGCGUGAGCCUCCGAGGCCGGAGGUCCCACCGGCGUCUCCCCCCGCCCCCCAGCUCCUUCCUUCACCCCGCCAGGCGUCCCGCCGAACGGAGACCGCGCUCGUUCCAACUCAAUUAACUCGCUGCCGAGGCCGCCGCCGGCGACGAGCUCCUCCUGCAAUUAGGGCCGCGCCGGCGAGGGCGGGGGCGGGGCGCGCAGGUUUCCGUGGCUGGCCUGGGCUCCGCCGGCGGUUCUUCUGCUCUGUGUGAUGCUCCAUAGCAUGAGCUGGGCUGGACGUCCAGGCUGCUGGGUCUCCUGGUUGCUGGUUGGUGCUGGCCGUUGCGGGGAGCUCAGCCUGGGACUUCUCACCAGAGCACGUGAGUUCUCCCUGUGGCCUGGCCACGUGGCUCCAGCUUCUAAUAACAGGGUGCCUGGAUCCCCAGAAGAUGAUGUGGAAGCUUCCAGCCUUCUUAAGACCUGGGUUCAGAUAUCCCAGACCACCAUUCUAUUGGCCAGAGCAGUAGAGGCCCAGCCUGGACUCGAGGGGAGGGCUCCAUCUCUGGACAGGAGCCCGCCUUGCACCUCAGGCCGGGUGGCAUUGUUGGGGAGCAUCUUUGGAGCUUAGGAGCGAACCGUGGAGCUGAUUGCCACUUGAGGAGGACCACUCUGGCUGCUGUGCAGAGAGGAGUGUGUGCUCAGAGUCCCCUGGGACCGAAGCAUCACCUCCAUGCCCUCCUCAUCUUCACCUCGACUUCUGCAUUAAAGGUCAGCCCUCCCAGGGCCCCUGGGGGUGAGCACUGACUGAGGGAGAAUCUCAACCUCCCUCGGCCUCAUCCCAACUGACAGACCCCGCUGCUCCCUCUGGCUUGGGUUCCCAAGGGCACACCCUCCUCCACAACCCAGACAGUGGCAGUGUGUGGACUCCAUAGAAAUGGAGAAAGGGUUUUUCAUCCAGCUUAGCCAGAGAAGGGCAAAGAAAUUGGUUUUAAAAUUGAUGGAGACAGAUACACAGAGAGGAGGACACCAUGUGAAGACACGGAGACCUGGGGAGAGGCCACGUGACCGCAGAGGCAGUGACUGGAGGGAGUAGAAUGCCGCGGACGGCGGCCACACCAGGAGCUGGGAGAGGAGCUUGAAAUCGAUCCUCCACCAGAGGCCCCGGAAAGAACCGACCCUGCCGACCGCUCGAUUCCAGGCUUCUGACCCCGCAACCGCGAGAGACUCAAUUUCUGCUGUUUUAAGCUCCCCAGUGAGCGGUACAUGGGUGUGGCAGCCCCAGGACCGCGUACAGGUUUAGAGAUCUCAUUUUUCGUGCAUAUGUAUGUAUUUGUUCAAUAAAAGAGAUGGCAUUAUAAAUCAGUGGCAGUGAAUAAAAUUCGUUAAAUUGUGUUGGUUAAAAAAAACAAGAUCGAAUGUUGUCUAUAUAAUUGAUGUGCUCAUAGAGAUAAAAAUCCAA
Molecule: long non-coding RNA, 1623 nt
Organism: Equus asinus (donkey)
Lineage: Eukaryota; Metazoa; Chordata; Mammalia; Perissodactyla; Equidae
Source: Ensembl